CCUUAGCAUAGCCGGUCACCUUGUCAUUCAGACUCCGACAUAGUCUAUCACCUUGUCUUUCAGACCCUGGCUCAGUCGAGACUAGCCACACAUUUUCGGCUAGUGAACUGGCUCUGAUACCAAAUAUAACGACCAAACCUACUAGCAAUAAUAACUCUUUCGGCCCAACCAUCGGCUCAAAAUGCUUAAGCCCAGUUAUUAUUACUAGUUUCUAAGUCUUUUAUAUACCCAAUCACAUCCCCAUUCAUAUCCGAUAUGGGAUUAUUGGGGUGUGACAGACUCCCCCCGUUAAGGCCUUGACGUCCUCGUCAGUUCAAUCACACACACAGUCUAAGAUCACCAGGGAUGUGAGACUUGUCUCGCUAGCCUUGUCAUCCAGACCUUGGCAUAGCCGAUCAUCUUGUCAUUCAGACUUCGACAUAGUCUAUCACCUUGUCUUUCAGACUCUGGCUCAGCCAAAACUCACCACACAUUUUCGGCUCGUGAACUGGCUUUGAUACCAACUGUAACGACCCAGCCCACUAGUAAUAAUAACUCGUUGCCCCAACCACCGGCCCAAAAUGCUUAAACCCAGUUAUUAUUACUAGUGUCUAAGUCUUUUAUAUACCCAAUCACAUCCCCAUUCAUAUCCGAUAUGGGAUUAUUAGGGUGUGACACACAGCAUGGACAUUACUAAUAAAAUAUAAUAUUAUUAAUAUAAUAAUAUAUUUUUAUUAUAUAUAAAAUAUUAAUUUUAGUAAAAUAUUGUUAUAUUUCUCAUAUGAUUGAAAGUUAGUAAAAUUUUUAUUAAUAGUUCAUAUAUUUUAAGAAAAAAAAUUCUCCACCGUACAUAAUUUAUUUAUAUUGUAAAAAAAAAAUUUGUAUGCAUUCAUCAAAAAGCUAAAAUAUUUAUUAUCUUACAUUAGAUGCAUAAAAAAAGUAAAAUAAAAAUAUGUAU
This 937-nucleotide long non-coding RNA is filed under the name Ananas comosus (pineapple). RNAcentral's name for it is "long non-coding RNA (ACOM_LNC030276)". The record is from RNAcentral. Lineage: Eukaryota; Viridiplantae; Streptophyta; Magnoliopsida; Poales; Bromeliaceae.